GUCCGGAUGAUGCAGUGGUUAACACACCUGCAUAGUGAGCAGGAGGUUCCGGGUUCGAAUCCCGGUCCGGUACA
Schistocerca americana (American grasshopper) is the source of this 74-nucleotide non-coding RNA. The record is from the annotation of a RefSeq genome assembly. NCBI's taxonomy places the organism in Eukaryota, Metazoa, Arthropoda, Insecta, Orthoptera, Acrididae.